This 1710-nucleotide ribosomal RNA is filed under the name Triticum aestivum (bread wheat). RNAcentral describes it as "partial small subunit ribosomal RNA". Lineage: Eukaryota; Viridiplantae; Streptophyta; Magnoliopsida; Poales; Poaceae. The record is from RNAcentral.
AUGCAGCGAUGCUGCCGGGUCAUUGUGUCGCAGCCGCCUGUGCUCCGGCCACAUCAAGGGAACCGCGCCGCGUCAUGGUUCUGCACUGCAGGCUUCGAGCUGCCUGAAUGGUUCAGGAACCCAAAGAAGGACGGGGACUCCUUUGAUGAUGAUGACCAUGACGAAUUUGUGCUCCCGAUCAGGUCCAAUCCCGUGGAGGAACGUAUCCAUGGAGGCAGCUCCAAGCCUCUGUCGAUCCGCCCCGAGGCUGCUUCCCACGAGGACGCCGAGUUCGAGGCUGAUUUCGACGAAGCCAGCAGGAUCCUGACCUCUUGCUUUGCGUCUCCGGAGGCCAUCGUGAUAGCCAUGGACUGCUGCCCUGUCAGGGUAUCAGACCGCAUGGUCGACAAGAUCCUAAGGAGGUUUGGCAGCGAUUGGGUGGCUGCGUUCGGGUUCUUUAUGUGGGCCGGUGCUCAGGAAGGCUACUGCCACUCUGCUGAUUCAUACAACUCGAUGGUUGACAUACUAGGAAAGUUCAAGCAGUUUGAUUUGAUGUGGGGCUUGAUCACUCAGAUGGAUGAGAUUGGUGGUUUGGUGUCGCUGGCAACGAUGACAAAGGUGAUGAGGAGGCUCGCUGGGGCCAGCCGGUGGACCGAUGCCAUAGAUGCCUUCAACAAAAUGGACCGGUUUGGUGUUGUGAAAGACACCACAGCUAUGAAUGUGCUCCUAGACACGCUGUGCAAGGAGAGGAGCGUGAAGCGUGCGAGAGGUGCGUUCCAAGAGUUGAGGGGAUCGGUACCUCCCGACGAGAGUAGUUUCAACACGUUGGUCCAUGGGUGGUGCAAGGCGAGGAUGAUGAACGAAGCCCGUGAUACGAUGAAGGAGAUGGAGGAACAUGGCUUCAAGCCUUCAGUGAUAACUUACACCAGCCUGAUAGAAGCAUACUGCAUGGAGAAAGAUUUUCAGACGGCUUACGCCAUCCUAAACGAGAUGCGUUCGAAAGGAUGCCCUCCAAAUGUUAUCACAUACACGAUCGUGAUGCACGCUCUAGGGAAGGAUGGAAGAACGCAAGAAGCUUUGGAUAUAUUUGACAAGGUGAGGUGCGAUGGUUGUGCCCCAGACGCUUCCUUCUACAACUCUCUCAUCUACAUACUCAGCAGAGCAGGGAGACUGGAGGAUGCAAACUCCAUCGUCGAUAAGAUGUCCAGCACUGGAGUUCCCCCCACUGUUGCUACCUUCAACACCCUAAUUUCUGCUGCCUGUGACCACUCCCAGGCAGAGAAUGCCCUGAAGAUGCUGGUUAGGAUGGAGGAGCAGUCAUGCAAGCCUGACAUCAAGACGUACACCCCAUUGCUGAAGCUGUGCUGCAAAAGGCAAUGGAUAAAGGUACUUCGGUUCCUCAUAUGCCACAUGUUUAGAAAGGACAUCACUCCUGAUUUCAGCACCUAUACCUUGUUGGUAACCUGGCUGUGCCGAAACGGGAAGCCCGCCCAGUCUUGCCUGUUUUUGGAGGAGAUGGUGCUGAAGGGUUUUACGCCGAAGAAAGAAACGUUUGAUCUUGUGACAGAGAAGCUUGAUAAGGCGAAUCUCCAUUCAGCAAAGAAAAAGAUUCAACUUCUCACCCUGCGGGCAGCUGCUGUGAAGCACACUGGUUCCCCUUAUUUGAACAAGGAUGGUGCUGCUGGACAGCAUAGUGACAUACUGUCAAGCGCUUAUGGCUACGAACCUUAG